Molecule: non-coding RNA, 31 nt
Filed under: Rattus norvegicus (Norway rat)
Lineage: Eukaryota; Metazoa; Chordata; Mammalia; Rodentia; Muridae
Source: RNAcentral
UGAUAGACCAGUAGUCUGCUAGAUGCCCAAC